Molecule: ribosomal RNA, 440 nt
Filed under: uncultured bacterium
Lineage: Bacteria
Description: partial 16S ribosomal RNA
Rfam family: Bacterial small subunit ribosomal RNA
Source: RNAcentral
CCUACGGGCGGCAGCAGUAGGGAAUAUUGCUCAAUGGGGGAAACCCUGAAGCAGCGACGCCGCGUGGAGGAUGAAGGUUUUCGGAUUGUAAACUCCUUUUGUUAGAGAAGAUAAUUACGGUAUCUAACGAAUAAGCACCGGCUAACUCCGUGCCAGCAGCCGCGGUAAUACGAUGGGUGCAAGCGUUACGCGGAAUCAAUGGGCGUAAAGAGAGCGUAGGCGGGAUAGCAAGGCAGAUGUGAAAACCUUGGGCUUAAACCUAGACCUGCAUUUGAGACUGUUAUUCUAGAGUAUGGGAGAGGUAGGUGGAAUUCUAGGUGUAGGGGUAAAAUGCGUAGAGAUAAAGAGGAAUACUCAUUGCGAAGGCGACCUGCUGGAACAUAACUGACGCUGAUGCGCGAAAGCGUGGGGAGCAAACAGGAUUAGAUACCCCAGUAGUC